Molecule: ribosomal RNA, 406 nt
Filed under: uncultured Gammaproteobacteria bacterium
Lineage: Bacteria; Pseudomonadati; Pseudomonadota; Gammaproteobacteria
Description: partial 16S ribosomal RNA
Rfam family: Bacterial small subunit ribosomal RNA
Source: RNAcentral
GUAUGGCAUAACAUGUUAGGAGAGCUUUGGUGCCUUCAAGAAUCUGAGACAGGUGCUGCAUGGCUGUCGUCCCUAGAGAAACGCACUGUUGGGUUAAGUCCCGCAACGAGCGCAACCCUUAUCCUUAUUUGCCAGCACGUAAUGGGGGGAACUCAAGGAAGACUGCCGGUGAUAAACCGGAGGAAGGGGGGGACGACUUCAAGUCAUCAUGGCCUUUACGAGUAGGGCUACCCACGUGCUACAAUGGCGAAUACAGAGGGUGCCCACCCCGCGAGGGGGGGCUAAUCUCAAAAAGCUCGUCGAAGUCCGAAUUGGAGUCUGCAACUCGACUCCAUAAAGUCGGAUUCGCUAUAAAUCCGGAAUCAAAAUGCCGCGGGGAAUACUUUCCCGGGUUUGGACACACGGA